This 456-nucleotide ribosomal RNA is filed under the name uncultured Acetobacterium sp. Its description in RNAcentral is "bacterial SSU rRNA". It matches the Rfam family "Bacterial small subunit ribosomal RNA", at positions 926 to 1382 of the family's 1533-position model. The record is from RNAcentral. Lineage: Bacteria; Bacillati; Bacillota; Clostridia; Eubacteriales; Eubacteriaceae.
CAAGCAGCGGAGCAUGUGGUUUAAUUCGAAGCAACGCGAAGAACCUUACCAGGUCUUGACAUCCUCUGACCAUCUGAGAGAUCAGACUUUCCCCUUCGGGGACAGAGAGACAGGUGGUGCAUGGUUGUCGUCAGCUCGUGUCGUGAGAUGUUGGGUUAAGUCCCGCAACGAGCGCAACCCCUGUGGUUAGUUGCCAUCAUUUAGUUGGGCACUCUAAGCAGACUGCCGUGGAUAACACGGAGGAAGGUGGGGACGACGUCAAAUCAUCAUGCCCCUUAUGACCUGGGCUACACACGUGCUACAAUGGUCUGAACAGAGGGCUGCGAAACCGCGAGGUGAAGCUAAUCCCUUAAAACAGAUCUCAGUUCGGAUUGCAGGCUGCAACUCGCCUGCAUGAAGUUGGAGUUGCUAGUAAUCGCAGAUCAGAAUGCUGCGGUGAAUGCGUUCCCGGGUCUU